Molecule: transfer RNA, 82 nt
Filed under: Candidatus Karelsulcia muelleri
Lineage: Bacteria; Pseudomonadati; Bacteroidota; Flavobacteriia; Flavobacteriales
Description: tRNA-Ser
Rfam family: tRNA
About the family: Transfer RNA (tRNA) molecules are approximately 80 nucleotides in length. Their secondary structure includes four short double-helical elements and three loops (D, anti-codon, and T loops). Further hydrogen bonds mediate the characteristic L-shaped molecular structure. tRNAs have two regions of fundamental functional importance: the anti-codon, which is responsible for specific mRNA codon recognition, and the 3' end, to which the tRNAs corresponding amino acid is attached (by aminoacyl-tRNA synthetases). tRNAs cope with the degeneracy of the genetic code in two manners: having more than one tRNA (with a specific anti-codon) for a particular amino acid; and 'wobble' base-pairing, i.e. permitting non-standard base-pairing at the 3rd anti-codon position.
Source: RNAcentral
GGAGAGAUGGCUGAGAGGUUUAAAGCACAUGCUUGGAAAGCAUGUAUAUAUUGUAUCAAGGGUUCGAAUCCCUUUCUCUCCG